RNAcentral lists this long non-coding RNA (201 nucleotides) under Elaeis guineensis (African oil palm). RNAcentral's name for it is "long non-coding RNA (EGUI_LNC014484)". Lineage: Eukaryota; Viridiplantae; Streptophyta; Magnoliopsida; Arecales; Arecaceae. The record is from RNAcentral.
GAGGAGACGGCCGAACCAGUAUCAGAAGGCCUUUCCACCAGGGCGGAAGCCGAAGAAGAUGCGGAGCGAGCUACCGAAGAUCAGGCGGCCCCGACUGCUGAAGCCAGAGCGAGUUCGCCGACCGUCCCCCGUCGUUAUCCAGUGGAGGAGGCCGACUCCGAGGACUAGUCGGUUUUCUAUUUUUGUUUUUCUUUUUGCUCC